GCUAAUACAUGCAAGUCGAGCGGACAGAUGGGAGCUUGCUCCCUGAUGUUAGCGGCGGACGGGUGAGUAACACGUGGGUAACCUGCCUGUAAGACUGGGAUAACUCCGGGAAACCGGGGCUAAUACCGGAUGGUUGUUUGAACCGCAUGGUUCAGACAUAAAAGGUGGCUUCGGCUACCACUUACAGAUGGACCCGCGGCGCAUUAGCUAGUUGGUGAGGUAACGGCUCACCAAGGCGACGAUGCGUAGCCGACCUGAGAGGGUGAUCGGCCACACUGGGACUGAGACACGGCCCAGACUCCUACGGGAGGCAGCAGUAGGGAAUCUUCCGCAAUGGACGAAAGUCUGACGGAGCAACGCCGCGUGAGUGAUGAAGGUUUUCGGAUCGUAAAGCUCUGUUGUUAGGGAAGAACAAGUGCCGUUCAAAUAGGGCGGCACCUUGACGGUACCUAACCAGAAAGCCACGGCUAACUACGUGCCAGCAGCCGCGGUAAUACGUAGGUGGCAAGCGUUGUCCGGAAUUAUUGGGCGUAAAGGGCUCGCAGGCGGUUUCUUAAGUCUGAUGUGAAAGCCCCCGGCUCAACCGGGGAGGGUCAUUGGAAACUGGGGAACUUGAGUGCAGAAGAGGAGAGUGGAAUUCCACGUGUAGCGGUGAAAUGCGUAGAGAUGUGGAGGAACACCAGUGGCGAAGGCGACUCUCUGGUCUGUAACUGACGCUGAGGAGCGAAAGCGUGGGGAGCGAACAGGAUUAGAUACCCUGGUAGUCCACGCCGUAAACGAUGAGUGCUAAGUGUUAGGGGGUUUCCGCCCCUUAGUGCUGCAGCUAACGCAUUAAGCACUCCGCCUGGGGAGUACGGUCGCAAGACUGAAACUCAAAGGAAUUGACGGGGGCCCGCACAAGCGGUGGAGCAUGUGGUUUAAUUCGAAGCAACGCGAAGAACCUUACCAGGUCUUGACAUCCUCUGACAAUCCUAGAGAUAGGACGUCCCCUUCGGGGGCAGAGUGACAGGUGGUGCAUGGUUGUCGUCAGCUCGUGUCGUGAGAUGUUGGGUUAAGUCCCGCAACGAGCGCAACCCUUGAUCUUAGUUGCCAGCAUUCAGUUGGGCACUCUAAGGUGACUGCCGGUGACAAACCGGAGGAAGGUGGGGAUGACGUCAAAUCAUCAUGCCCCUUAUGACCUGGGCUAC
Molecule: ribosomal RNA, 1187 nt
Filed under: Bacillus siamensis
Lineage: Bacteria; Bacillati; Bacillota; Bacilli; Caryophanales; Bacillaceae
Description: bacterial SSU rRNA
Rfam family: Bacterial small subunit ribosomal RNA
Source: RNAcentral